AGAUUUACAUGGGAAUAUUCUAAAAUCAGCAUUAAAACAAUAUGUGCAUUUUCCCACCAGAGAGGUGUUUCCAUCACAUUGACUUGUUGCGGAUAAAAGGCUGUGCUUGAUGACAUUAGUGCAGAUAAAAAUACCCUUUGCAGUAAAAUUUCCAUGUACCGAAAAAAAAUACAAGUUAAAUGGGUUUACAUGGCAUUUUCAACUCUACUGAGGGUUUUCUCACAAUUAUUUGUUGAACUUUAUAGCAAAUGUGCCCACUCCGGUAUUGUCACGAGCGCUUAAGCCCACAGCGCUAUUUGAAAGCAGCAUCAAACUCAUCACCAUGCACAUUCCCCACCCUGUGAAGUUCAACAUAAACAUAUUUAAUCUGUUGCCUAAUAAACAACAUGCUUUCCCGACAAGUCAUAGUGGCAGGACCACACACGUCAUAGUGUGUCUCCAAGUUUACUUCCAUAUCAUGGUUAUUAUAUCAAUAUUUGGCCUUAAAAGCGUUUCCACCAACAUGUCUUGCAUACAUAUUUUUACUGACACAAAAAGAUCCCACCUUGUCUACCGUAUUUUGUUUUCUUGACAAUUAGAAAGUUUUCCAAAACAUUUUCUGUUUCCAUCAGGCCUGUCAUGACAUUUUUUAAACGACAUGUACUUUACUCGCAUAAAAAGGUGAGAUGAAAAACAGGUUAGUGUUCUCUUUACCUGUCCCUGAUGGAUUCCCUUCAGCAGAGCGAAUGUGCUGAGAUGGUUGCAGGAGCACACAGUGUGGGUGGAGUUCGAAAUCACUAAGGUGCAACCCCUCCCAGACCACACCCCCGGUCCAUUCUCAUCCGACCAAUAAACACAGGUGGGGUCAACAUCACUGGACUAGGACACAGUGUAUAUGGGUUGGGGUCAAUUCCAUUUAGACUCAGU
Long non-coding RNA from Oncorhynchus keta (chum salmon), 906 nucleotides. RefSeq lists it as uncharacterized. NCBI's taxonomy places the organism in Eukaryota, Metazoa, Chordata, Actinopteri, Salmoniformes, Salmonidae. The record is from RefSeq and is a predicted model, not a curated record. The transcript has 3 exons.